GUGGCAAAGACGGUACUUGACUUUCAACACUUGGUGGUGCAGGAGCAUUAUUUGGUGGCUCUGACGGUACAUGUUCAGUACUUGGUGGUGGAGAAGCAGUUUUUGGUGGCAUAGGCGGUACAUGGCCUUCAACACUUGGUGGUGGAGGAGAAUUAGUCGGUGGCAUAGAUCGUACAUGGCCUUCAACACUUGGUGGCGGAGGAUCAUUAUUUGGUGGUGCAGUAGGUACAUGAACUUCAAUGCUUAGUGGUGGAGGAACUUUAAUUGGUGGCGUAGGCGGUACACGACCUUCAACACUUGGUGAUGGAGGAGAAUUAGCUGGUGGCAAAGAUGGUACAUGACCUUCAACACUUGGUAGUGGAGGAGCAUCUUUUGGUGGCACCGACGGUGCUUGACUUUCAACACUUGGUGGUGGAGGAGAAGCAUCUUUUGGUCGCAAAGGCGGUACUUGACUUUCAACACUUGGUGGUGGAGGAGCAUUAUUUGGUGGCUCUGACGGUACAUGUUCAGUACUUAGUGGUGGAGAAGCAGUUUUUGGUGGCAUAGGCGGUACAUGGCCUUCAACACUUGCAGGUGGAGGAGAAUUAGUUGGUGGCAUAGAUGGUACAUGACCUUCAACACUUGGUGGCGGAGGAGCGUUAUUUGGUGGUGUAGUAGGUACAUGAACUUCAAUGCUUAGUGGUGGAGGAACAUUAAUUGGUGGCGUAGGCGGUACACGACCUUCAACACUUGGUGAUGGAGGAGAAUUAGCUGGUGGCAAAGAUGGUACAUAACCUUCAACACUUGGUAGUGGAGGAGUAUCUUUUGGUGGCACCGACGGUACUUGACUUUCAACACUUGGUGGUGGAGGAGCAUUAGUUGCUGGCGCUAACGGUACAUGAACUUCAGUACUUAGUGGUGGAGGAGCAGUUUUUGGUGGCAUAGGUGGUACAUGGCCUUCAUCACUUGCUGGUGGAGGAGAAUUAGGAGGUGGCAUAGAUGGUACAUGACCUCCAACACUUGGUGGUGGAGGAGCAUUAUUUGGUGGUGCAGAAGGUACAUGAACUUCAAUGCUUAGUGGAGGAGGAACGUUAAUUGGUGGCUUAGGCGGUACAUGACCUUCAACACUUGGUGGUGGAGGAGAAUUAGUUGGUGGCACAGACGGUACAUGACCUUCAACACUUGGUGGUGGAGGAGCAU
This 1179-nucleotide long non-coding RNA is filed under the name Malus domestica (apple). RNAcentral's name for it is "long non-coding RNA (MDOM_LNC001397)". Lineage: Eukaryota; Viridiplantae; Streptophyta; Magnoliopsida; Rosales; Rosaceae. The record is from RNAcentral.